Molecule: ribosomal RNA, 1372 nt
Filed under: uncultured bacterium
Lineage: Bacteria
Description: bacterial SSU rRNA
Rfam family: Bacterial small subunit ribosomal RNA
Source: RNAcentral
GAUGAACGCUGGCGGCGUGCCUAAUACAUGCAAGUCGAGCGAACGGACGAGAAGCUUGCUUCUCUGAUGUUAGCGGCGGACGGGUGAGUAACACGUGGAUAACCUACCUAUAAGACUGGGAUAACUUCGGGAAACCGUAGCUAAUACCGGAUAAUAUUUUGAACCGCAUGGUUCAAAAGUGAAAGACGGUCUUGCUGUCACUUAUAGAUGGAUCCGCGCUGCAUUAGCUAGUUGGUAAGGUAACGGCUUACCAAGGCAACGAUGCAUAGCCGACCUGAGAGGGUGAUCGGCCACACUGGAACUGAGACACGGUCCAGACUCCUACGGGAGGCAGCAGUAGGGAAUCUUCCGCAAUGGGCGAAAGCCUGACGGAGCAACGCCGCGUGAGUGAUGAAGGUCUUCGGGUCGUAAAACUCUGUUAUUAGGGAAGAACAUAUGUGUAAGUAACUGUGCACAUCUUGACGGUACCUAAUCAGAAAGCCACGGCUAACUACGUGCCAGCAGCCGCGGUAAUACGUAGGUGGCAAGCGUUAUCCGGAAUUAUUGGGCGUAAAGCGCGCGUAGGCGGUUUUUUAAGUCUGAUGUGAAAGCCCACGGCUCAACCGUGGAGGGUCAUUGGAAACUGGAAAACUUGAGUGCAGAAGAGGAAAGUGGAAUUCCAUGUGUAGCGGUGAAAUGCGCAGAGAUAUGGAGGGACACCAGUGGCGAAGGCGACUUUCUGGUCUGUAACUGACGCUGAUGUGCGAAAGCGUGGGGAUCAAACAGGAUUAGAUACCCUGGUAGUCCACGCCGUAAACGAUGAGUGCUAAGUGUUAGGGGGUUUCCGCCCCUUAGUGCUGCAGCUAACGCAUUAAGCACUCCGCCUGGGGAGUACGACCGCAAGGUUGAAACUCAAAGGAAUUGACGGGGACCCGCACAAGCGGUGGAGCAUGUGGUUUAAUUCGAAGCAACGCGAAGAACCUUACCAAAUCUUGACAUCCUUUGACAACUCUAGAGAUAGAGCCUUCCCCUUCGGGGGACAAAGUGACAGGUGGUGCAUGGUUGUCGUCAGCUCGUGUCGUGAGAUGUUGGGUUAAGUCCCGCAACGAGCGCAACCCUUAAGCUUAGUUGCCAUCAUUAAGUUGGGCACUCUAAGUUGACUGCCGGUGACAAACCGGAGGAAGGUGGGGAUGACGUCAAAUCAUCAUGCCCCUUAUGAUUUGGGCUACACACGUGCUACAAUGGACAAUACAAAGGGCAGCGAAACCGCGAGGUCAAGCAAAUCCCAUAAAGUUGUUCUCAGUUCGGAUUGUAGUCUGCAACUCGACUACAUGAAGCUGGAAUCGCUAGUAAUCGUAGAUCAGCAUGCUACGGUGAAUACGUUCCCGGGUCU